RNAcentral lists this long non-coding RNA (517 nucleotides) under Lathyrus oleraceus (garden pea). RNAcentral's name for it is "Pisum sativum (pea) long non-coding RNA (PSAT_LNC025813)". The record is from RNAcentral. Lineage: Eukaryota; Viridiplantae; Streptophyta; Magnoliopsida; Fabales; Fabaceae.
UACAUCACGGUUCAUCAGUUGUAAUAAACAGAACGUUCGUGCAUGACAUGCUGCAAAAUUUGAGAAUAUAAAACUACACUACACAAACAAAAAUCAAUCGAAAAUACCCUAAUUCCCAAGGCAAUUUGAAUAUCUUUUCGAAAGCCAGAGAUCCUUGUAUAAAGAAAAAAUGAAAUUGAUUUAUUUAGUUGAAUCGUAAAAUUAUUGCCUAUAAAUUUAUGUACACAUAACAUAGACUGUGUUUCAAACUUUACACCUAAAUUGGGAAGCGAGUUGGUGGGGGUGGGGGUGGGGGUGGACGAGCAACAUCGUCGGUGACAUUUAUAUCGGUUCACGUGCAAUCUCCGUGGCUGCGGCCAGGAACGGUGGAGCACGGGUUUCUCUGGGAGCCUUGAACAGUGCCUCGUUGUAGUGCCUGUAUUGCUACAUUCUUAUAAAACAACAACACUUGGUUCUCUAUUAAUAACGGUCUUAUACCAGUUAUUUCUUGAGAACCAAAAAGCAUAAUUAUCGUUAC